GGUUUUUAGUUCCUUGAUCUUUGGCCUUUUUCAAUUUCUUCUUGUUGUUUCUCCAUAAAUUUUUCAAGUUUACAAAAUACUGCCAGUACCAUUCAGCUUAGUUCUGGUACUUGAAAAGGCCAUACUUGGGGGGAAAAAAUUGUGCAGCCCACGUGGGCUCGUCGGCUGUUUGAGAGCGUGUUUGGUAUCUACACAGCCUCAGCUGUCAUGGCAGAUGAAAACACCAUCCUGCAAUUCCAAACCCUCCUGUGUGCCUGCUGCUGAUACAAAGAAAACCCCCCUGCAAUUGCCCAGAGACACUUGCAGUUCAAGUCUCUUAUUUCUGACUCCAGGAGAGGUUCAGGAGCCACUACAGAGCAGCCCAAGUGUGCAGUGGCUGAGAAGAAGAUAUUGCUGCUCCUGAAGAGGAUCAUACUCCUGGCUUGAAAUCAGAUGCUCCUGGAGAGCCCCAAGGCAGCUUUGCAGUGUGGUGGAGGCUGGAGGAUGAUGCAUCCUUGGGAAGGGACUCAGGCAAAGGGCAGGGAUUUCAUCUGCUUGUGAUUCAGAGCUCUGCUCAUUCACUAAAAUCACCUCUUUGUUUUUUUAUUUGGAGCUUAACCGUGCUGAUUCUGCCAUGGGUUAUGGGUUUGCAGUGGUGCAAUACCCCAGUGCUGAUGGCUCCUGUGGGGGAAUAGCAGGUAACUCGUGUUGGGAUAAUCUGCAUCUUUAUUUUUAGAAACAAAACCCUUCCCAGAAAAAGAAACCCUCUGCUUUCGUUAUGUCAUUGUGGGAACAGUCUGGCAAGGUUUUAGCUCCUUGUUUCACGCAUUCAGCUGUUUCUUGAUACUGGAAAUAAAAGUUGUGUGUUUAAUUAUGUGCUGUGGAGA
Molecule: long non-coding RNA, 866 nt
Filed under: Cyanistes caeruleus (blue tit)
Lineage: Eukaryota; Metazoa; Chordata; Aves; Passeriformes; Paridae
Description: lncRNA (ENSCCEG00000020269.1)
Source: RNAcentral